GCAUUGCUAACUGUGUUGAGCCAGCCAGUGUUAUUAUUUUUUAUUCUGCUCACCACAGACAGGGUAACAGGUGAUGGUGGCAAUGGAGAAAAAGAUUGCUGGUUUACCAUGAAUGAAGGAGUGGACCACCAAGGCAAGGAUAAAACUGGUAAAAGGCUAGGCCCAUCAACAUGUGAAUUGUGAAUUUGAAGAACAUUCUCACCACCAAAAGGAGAGAGCACAAAAAUAUGGCAAGUGCCCCUGGAAGAAACAAUGGCAAUCCACUGACUAUAAUGACUAAAGCAAAUGUCUUGUAUCACAGCUGAUGUGAUGCCACGAUGGAGCUUAUAAAGAUGCACAUGAGAAGAGCUCCAAUCAUAGAUCUUAGUGCCUGAUGCACUGCGAGAGGAGGAUGGCAUAAUCCUGAAAAUAUUUAUGUUGUUCCCAUGAACAGAGGCAGUAACCAAAAGUGUACCACUUGG
RNAcentral lists this unclassified non-coding RNA (461 nucleotides) under Hevea brasiliensis (rubber tree). Lineage: Eukaryota; Viridiplantae; Streptophyta; Magnoliopsida; Malpighiales; Euphorbiaceae. The record is from RNAcentral.